GGGACUGGGAGAACUAUUGCCUUCGAGUGUCGCUCGGUCGGUCGUGCUUCACUUCCUCCUUCGGUUCUUCUUGCUGGAUGACUCCUCAGGCGGGUGGGGUACCUGCAGAUGGCACUCCAACGCUCAAGUCAGUGAGGUGUCGUAUUCGGCUGGCAGGAAUACUGUAGAUAAUGACGUACCUUAUUCCUUGGAAUGCGUGAUAUUUAUAUUACCUUGAUGGGCCCUCACUGUUGGGCCGGAUUAGGGGGUUGUUUAGCAAUUAGGGUUGGAUUAGGCUGUUUCCUAACCAUGGGUUAACCUUCGUUAAUUGGGUCAACCUUUGACUUGAGCACUCGGUGUCGGUCGGCCACGUGUGACACAUGGUCGACCUCGUACCUUAAAGUAUGGUCCUGACACAUGGGUUGACCGGGUCAAGGGACCGGUCGGUCAUCCCA
This 434-nucleotide long non-coding RNA is filed under the name Phaseolus vulgaris (common bean). Its description in RNAcentral is "long non-coding RNA (PVUL_LNC002547)". Lineage: Eukaryota; Viridiplantae; Streptophyta; Magnoliopsida; Fabales; Fabaceae. The record is from RNAcentral.